GCCGCGAGCCGAUACAGUCUACUACUACUACUGGUCUAUGUACAUUUUUAACUCGCGAUUUUAUUGCAAAUAAUUUAACCGUUAAUAAACUAUUGUGCUUUUAAAAUAACCUUUAAAGUCAGUGUAUACCCCAGAUCGGGGUUCAAGUACCUGACUACCUCCAGUGCACCUACCGUAGUGCACCUACCCUAAGUGCACCUACCUACGCACCUGUCUACCUACGCGCCUGUCUACCUACGUGCCUGUGUCUACCUACGUGCCUGUGUCUACCUACGUGCCUGUGUCUACCUACGUGCCGCGCCUAUCUACGUGUCCUGCAUCUACCUACGCGUCCGGCAUCUACUAGCGCGCUGCACACCUACCCCGCCUGACCGCUGCCGAGCUGCCUGACUAUACAGGGUAGUAGUGUUCUAUAGCGGGCCAGAACUUAACGCGCGCUCGAUUAUUCUAAACCCACUCCCGGCUCUGCCGAUCUUUUGUAGAAUAUACUUAUAUACUAAUUUUCUAAAUUACUCUUUUUAUUUUUCUACCUACUAGGGUACCUACCACUAAACCUAAACGUGACAGUGGCGCCCAAUAAUGGUAGGAUAUAUCGAGCCGUGUUUAGUUCUUGUUUGCUAAGCAUUUUGUAGUUGUCCUGGUGUUGGUUGUCUGUCAGUUGUGUUGAAUUUGAUCACAGCCUACCAAAUGUGAAUCUACCCACAUCUUCUUAAUAAUUAUUUUUUUCUCUAAUAUUUAAAUUCAACCGUCCAUUUUUUUACUUGACCUACCGUCAAUAUUUUUCUACCCCCCAAUUUUUAUUUUUACAUUUACCUUCAAAAUUAACAUACCUUAAAUAUAUUUUCACAUAUGGUUGACUGACCACAAACGUGCUGAUUUUGCAUCCGAAUUGUUUUGUCUUUAUUAUUUUUGUCUUUAUUUUGCAACACACUCCUAACUGCGGUUUUAAUUUUCUAUAAUGUCUUACCCUAUUAAGUUUUUAUCGCUACAAAAAGCUGAACUAGACUAUGAAGUUACUGUUCGUGAUGGUACUGGGGGAGAUUCGG
Long non-coding RNA from Helicoverpa armigera (cotton bollworm), 1046 nucleotides. RefSeq lists it as uncharacterized. The transcript has 2 exons. The record is from RefSeq and is a predicted model, not a curated record. NCBI's taxonomy places the organism in Eukaryota, Metazoa, Arthropoda, Insecta, Lepidoptera, Noctuidae.